This is a long non-coding RNA of Melospiza georgiana, 1604 nucleotides long. RefSeq lists it as uncharacterized. NCBI's taxonomy places the organism in Eukaryota, Metazoa, Chordata, Aves, Passeriformes, Passerellidae. The transcript is spliced from 4 exons. The record is from RefSeq and is a predicted model, not a curated record.
UCAUUUAUCCCGCAAAUCUAAUUAGCAAUCCGUGGCUGACAUUAAUACAGAUCUAAUGAGGCCGGCGAUGACCAGAUUAUCAGGCGAGCGCUGACAGAGUCUUAAAGGCACAUCAAGCCCUGCAGUCAGUGGGACCUGGCAGGGGAAAAUCUGCUUGAAAGGGGGAGAAGAAAAAGGAAAAAAAAAAAAAAAAAGAAAGAAAGGAGGAAAGAAAGAAAAAAAAAUUGACGAGGGAGGGGGAGAAAAACAUGAGGAAAAGCAGUGCGGGUAGGGCUUGGCUGCUUAGUUUAUUAAGGGAGCUGGAGCUUUGCUGGACGCAGUUUAUCCACCAGCAUCGGGCCUCUGUCCCUGCUUCUCCCGAAAUACCGUUCUGCAGAGGAGAAAAAGGAGGGGGGAAAUAAGGGGAAAAAAAAAAAUAAGAAGAAGCUGGAGCCCAAGGAGUCGCUGUGCAAUUUAUUCCAAGGGGUGGCUGUUGAGAAGGCGGCAAUUUGCGGCGGCCGGGGGUUAUUUAGUGCGAUAUGAAAUCAAAUGAUCCUAUUGCUCAAAUAACAGUGUCUGGGAGGAGAAGCGAGCGCGCUCCAAAGGUAAUUCAGCAGCAGUGGCAAGCCUGAGAUCGAGCAGGAUGGAGUGGCCUGGCCAAGCCGUGGCCCCACUGGCAGGAGCUUCAGAGUGGACAGAAGAGGGAACACAGCUUGGUGGUGAAGGUGCUGUUCUCCUGAAAGAGGAUCCUGGCAAAAACAUGGCUUGGUGCAGGGGAUGGCACGCUGAAGGCGAGACAGCAGCAGACACUUGAAUGGAGACUCCUCGUGUUUACAGCCUGGCCACACAAGUGACUGAGACCCGAAAUCUCCCUGAUGUCCUCUCUGGAUGCUUGGCCUUGGAACAGCCUCAGUCGUGCCACACCUGCUCCCUUCCACUCGUGGAGCCUUCUAUGCUGCACAGGGCACUGGAAAAGCGCUUGGAGAUGGCUGGAGAAGGAUGGGGCUUCCUGGAAAAUGGUCUCUAAACCAGGCCUUUCCCUGUGCCGUGGCUCAUUAAUAUCAGUGGUUCCUGCUGGAGGAACUCUGUCACCUUCCCUGAGGCAGCAGAUCUGAGGCCAGACGUGGUGUGCACUGCUUGUACAUUCAGACACGAGUAAUAACAAGUUUGGAGGAACUGUACCACUUAAUAAAAGCAUUUUAUUACACUUAAAUGUAUUAAAAUGUGAACAUUAAAUUCAACGCGCUAAUUACCGCUCCCAGGCAUUGCCGCUGACAGGAAAUGGAUCCUCACAAUUGCUCUGCUGAGAUCACUCACUGCUGUUACUGCUCUUUGGUUCCUGGUGUGUUAUUAGUGCUCUGCAUUUGGGACUUGAGUCAUUAACAAAAGGGACUCGUGUUGGGCAUUAUGUAAAUUCUGUAUGUUUUCACACAGCUACCGGGGCCUGUGUUAUGUAUCUCAUUGACAAAAAGAAAAGCAAAUGCAUUUGGCUCUGCCCUGGCUUGUGGGCGAGGGAUCUCAGGGGUCACCCAGGCACAGAGAGGGAAAACCUCUUCCUAACACAUCUCUGUGUUUCUGCAAAUCCCUUUCCAGGGAAAUUUGUCCCCCCCACCACCACCACUUGC